AAAGUACCUUGACGCAAAUCCUGA
Molecule: non-coding RNA, 24 nt
Filed under: Arabidopsis thaliana (thale cress)
Lineage: Eukaryota; Viridiplantae; Streptophyta; Magnoliopsida; Brassicales; Brassicaceae
Source: RNAcentral